RNAcentral lists this ribosomal RNA (459 nucleotides) under uncultured bacterium. RNAcentral describes it as "partial 16S ribosomal RNA". It matches the Rfam family "Bacterial small subunit ribosomal RNA", at positions 339 to 795 of the family's 1533-position model. The record is from RNAcentral.
CUACGGGUGGCUCCAGUGAGGAAUAUUGGUCAAUGGGCGAGAGCCUGAACCAGCCAAGUCGCGUGCAGGAAGACUGCCCUAUGGGUUGUAAACUGCUUUUGUAUGGGAGUAAAGGACGCUACGUGUAGUGUUUUGCAAGUAUCAUACGAAUAAGGAUCGGCUAACUCCGUGCCAGCAGCCGCGGUAAUACGGAGGAUUCGAGCGUUAUCCGGAUUUAUUGGGUUUAAAGGGUGCGUAGGCGGGUGAUUAAGUCAGUGGUGAAAGUUUGCAGCUCAACUGUAAAAUUGCCAUUGAAACUGAUUAUCUUGAGUACAAAUGAGGUAGGCGGAAUGUGUUGUGUAGCGGUGAAAUGCAUAGAUAUAACACAGAACACCGAUUGCGAAGGCAGCUUACUGGGAUGUAACUGACGCUGAGGCACGAAAGCGUGGGGAUCAAACAGGAUUAGAUACCCGUGUAGUC